Molecule: long non-coding RNA, 3630 nt
Organism: Stegostoma tigrinum
Lineage: Eukaryota; Metazoa; Chordata; Chondrichthyes; Orectolobiformes; Stegostomatidae
Exons: 4
Source: RefSeq, a predicted model, not a curated record
ACCGAGCUGCGUCACAAGUUUAUGAGGGAGUUGUUUCACAUCUGAAUGAAUGACUGGACCCAGUGUCGACUGGUUGCUUCCAAACACAGACUGUGGCCCUGGUGAAAAGCAAUGGAAUAUUCAGGGCAGAGGUAAAGAGAAGAGGAUUGUUCAGAACCACGGUGAAGAUGUUCAUCCUGUCCCUUUGAGUUGGAUUUAAGCUCAGAGCCCGGAAGUAAGAUGCCAGGGAAGCAUUUCUGAACUACAGAACUAUGAUUGCUCAGUGAGGAUUGGUAGCUAAAGCAACGAGAGACACUUUCACCCUCUGCCCACUGUUUCCUGUGAUUUGGGAUCUUCCGUCAGAAUUUCAUUUACAGCCAAAUUGAUGGGAUCUUACUCUGCGUGACUUUAAAUACAUGCUGUCAGUGGUCUUAGCAGCUGUAGAACUGGCAAGAGAACUGCAUUGCCUCUUCUCAUGAAGAUCUGCCAAACGACAUGCCAGUCAGCCUCCUUGUGAAUGCACACUAGGGCUCCAGAUGGGCACUGCCCCUGCCGAAAUGGUGCUUUAUGGCAAUGAAAUCAGCCACAUAUGGGCAUCGGUUUUUAUGGUGUUCAGGACCUUUUCUCAGCCUUCAGAUACGAAGGGAGAGAAUCAUUGGACCAGAAAAUGGCUAUGAUUACACACAGCAGACCACACAAGUCCCUGAAGAACCCCCACACUGAGGAGAUAUGGAAGACAGCACAUGCAACACGGUGAUCAGUCUGGAAUCUGAAGCUUUAAUUUUGUGCCAAUAAUGCUGGUAAGCCAGAAAGCUUAAAGGAAAUCAGAUACUGCCAAGGACAGCAAACCCAAAGUAAACUCAUUGCAACUCACAACACUGAAUAAUAACUCAAGGAACAAUACUAGAAGAGUUUCAGUCCUGAUCAUAGUUCUAGAAAAGAUGAAAUCCAAGCCAGAGAUAUACAGGUGGUCUGUGGAGGAGACCCCAAGUCCAAAUUCAGUGUUGAAUGAACAGACAGUGGAGAUUGUUUAAGUCAAAAUGCAAGCUCCCUGAUACAAGUAGAAACUCAAAACAGUGCGGUUAUUUGGGGAAAAUCAGAAAUAUUGGGAGUGUCUACCACAGAGUGUAAAUCCCACAGGCCACAACGAGAAAUUGAUAAAACUAACAGAGCCAAGAGAGAAACUCACAUAAUCUAGCAGCAAAGAACUAAGGAAAUUAUAAACUCCAUCAUUUAAAGCAGAUAAGCAUGAGUAGUUGUGAUCUUAUAAAAAAAAGUCUGCUGUGAUACUCCAUUGCAGACAUAAAAUGCAAUAAAUCUGCCAUUAAGUUGCAAAACAUGGCAAAACCUCCAGUAACGCUGUGUAGUAAAAGCCCAAGUGAACCAAGAUUACACCAUAAGUAAUCUUCAGAGAAGAUAAAAGACUGAAUCAUAUUAGAAAGCUACGGUAUCAGAUACAGUGUUGUCAGAAGGAUGUAAUUUCAGAGAUGGACAAAAUAGAAUAUAUGAUACCAGCCGGUGGAGAGUUUGCCCCUCCUAAUUUCCAUUGACUCCAGUUUUGCUGGGGUUCCUUGAUCCAUACUCAGUCAAAUGCAGCCUUGAUAUCAAGGGUUGUUAUGCUUACCUGUGGACUAUCAUGUUAAGCAUUUUUGUGAUAUGUAUAAAGGUGUGUAAAGAUCAUGAAGCUGCAUGAUGUACUGGUGUCUAUCUGCUGCAAUUUUGAUUGGAUGUUUUCUUUCUGAAGUCAUCAUUCCAAAAGUCACAAGCCAUUUAAUCUCAGUCUUUUGACCUGACUAAGCCAACCUACUCUUGAGUGAUUUGUCAGAACCUUUGGCUAGAAUAUCUUUAAUGGCCACCUACAUUUGCUUGUGAUUCUCAUUCUGGCCAAACACUUGUGUGCAAAAUGACUUGGCUUCUUGCAGUGAAAACACAGCCUUCUUCAUGCUGGACAUAACUUUUUUUUUGUGCUGCCCUCCAAGGUAUUUGCAUCUGUUUGCCCUUUCGGUCUGGAAUGUCUAUCUGUGAAUAACUAGUUAUCGAUUUACAACCUCAGCCUUUCUGCACAUGUUGAUCACUCUCCUGAGAGCAAGAUUCUCCUCUCACUGUAGAUGUGCUCUCAAUGCAGGAUUUCUUAUACCUAAUACAAUCUUCUCUUUAAUUAGUUCAUCUUUUAGUUAUGCAGUCAGAGGAUUUUGAAAGUUGUUUUAAUGCAGUUACAUAUUGGGCCCUAAUAUUGAACAUAUAUGGUUGAUAAGUUAUAUUCACUUGAGGUUCAAAGCUUACCUUCAAGGCUUUUUAAAGAUUCUGUUUCUUCCUAUUCUUCAAGCAGGUUUAAUGUGGAUAACAGUCUCUUUCCAAGAGUAAUAAAGGCAUAGCACACACAAGUGCUCUGGGUUGUUAAGUAAAUCUGCUACAAACUUAUAGCCUUGUCAUUCUAUGUAUCAGUUCAGUUUUAUUUCACAUUUAAUUUUGACCUGUGCUGGAAGCGGAACGUUUAUAGCCAUUGUGUCUUAUCCACUGCUUUCAGCUGUGGCUUGCUUAUUUGUUCUUUUCCUGUGGCUUUUUGCCAUGUGUUCCUUUUUUAGUAACUGUACUUCUAUACAGCUCGUCAACAUCUAAUCUCAGCCACACCCAUAUACCAGUUAAGAGCUCACAGAACAGCAGUCUUGUUUGUAUCCCAAACACUUCCCUCUAGUUGAGACCAGGUAACUCGGUAGAGGCUGGGAGAUGUCCUGGGACCUUCUUAGUGUCAUUCUCCCCGUGCUCCAGUUUCCUCCUGCAAUCCAAAGACGUACAGGUUAGGUGGAUUGGCCAUGCUAAAUUGUCCAUAGUGUCCAGGGAGGUACAGGUUAGGUGGGUUAGCCAUGGGAAAUGCAGGCUUACAGGAGUAGAGUGGGAUGCUCUUCAAAGUAUAAGUGUGGACUUGAUGGACUGAAUGGUCUGCCUCCACACUGCAGGGAUUGUAUGAUUCUAUGACAUAUAUCAUGGAUUACUAAAUGUCCACUAAACUAUUUGCUGAUCCACUAAUAUCAUAUUGGAAUAAUAUGUCCCACUGUGGGUUUGGUUUGAACUGAGUGCAGUUGUAGUUCUUUCUUGCAAACGAUGUGAUGGUUUGUACCUUUCCACAUGCCAUAAAUCCAUAGUGACAAAAACAGGCGAUACUUCGGUGAAAAUAUUUGUGAAAGCAAAGGUUGUGUUUGUUUGUUACUCAGAGUGACAAGACCAAUAGGGAGAGAUUAGUUGGCAGCAUUCCAUGUAUAAAGUAAAGCAUUGCAGAUGAAUGUGAAAAGAAUGACUCACACCCUGUAUUAUAAAUCUGUCAAGAGUUUGGAUAAUGUCCAAUGGCUUAAGAACUUUAAGAAUUUAUUUUGUUGUGAACUGCAAAGCCACAGUCACUGAAGCACUGUAAUACGCCACUAAUCAAACUCAGCUAUCUCUCCCUCAGGAUAGGACCCACCUUCCACAUGCACAAUGUGUUUCUUUGGAUACUAGAAUCAGCCUUGAUAUUCAUGAGUUAGAGAGGUUUACCUACACUGAAAGUGAGAAUGAAUGGCAUUAGGAAUGUAGGGUCUGGAAGCAGGAGUAGGCCAUUUGCCCCUUCAAGCCUGCUCCUUGAGCUCUUUUUGAAGCAUGGCAACAUUGACAUUAAUG